Molecule: ribosomal RNA, 469 nt
Filed under: Pseudomonas sp.
Lineage: Bacteria; Pseudomonadati; Pseudomonadota; Gammaproteobacteria; Pseudomonadales; Pseudomonadaceae
Description: bacterial SSU rRNA
Rfam family: Bacterial small subunit ribosomal RNA
Source: RNAcentral
UGCAAGUCGAGCGGUAGAGAGAAGCUUGCUUCUCUUGAGAGCGGCGGACGGGUGAGUAAUGCCUAGGAAUCUGCCUGGUAGUGGGGGAUAACGUUCGGAAACGGACGCUAAUACCGCAUACGUCCUACGGGAGAAAGCAGGGGACCUUCGGGCCUUGCGCUAUCAGAUGAGCCUAGGUCGGAUUAGCUAGUUGGUGAGGUAAUGGCUCACCAAGGCGACGAUCCGUAACUGGUCUGAGAGGAUGAUCAGUCACACUGGAACUGAGACACGGUCCAGACUCCUACGGGAGGCAGCAGUGGGGAAUAUUGGACAAUGGGCGAAAGCCUGAUCCAGCCAUGCCGCGUGUGUGAAGAAGGUCUUCGGAUUGUAAAGCACUUUAAGUUGGGAGGAAGGGUACUUACCUAAUACGUGAGUAUUUUGACGUUACCGACAGAAUAAGCACCGGCUAACUCUGUGCCAGCAGCCGNGG